Non-coding RNA from Xyrichtys novacula (pearly razorfish), 1000 nucleotides. Lineage: Eukaryota; Metazoa; Chordata; Actinopteri; Labriformes; Labridae. The record is from the annotation of a GenBank genome assembly.
UCCUUUGCUUGUGUGUGCUUUAAUGCUCGAUUCUUUGAUCGACUAUUCAUCAAAUUAAUGUGUAAUUCCACUCAAGGCGGUGGUAGAAUACACAUUUAAAAUGUUAGAAGUGGAUGUUGAUCAUUUGGAGAGAUAUUGGUCCUGCACUCUGAACGUUGCACUUGCCAUUGUUAUUGCGGGGUUUAGGGAAUAAACAGACAUUUGAAAAGGUUGAAGAAAAACAGGACGGAAAAGCAUCACGCAGAGUGGACAGAGCGUUUUAUGUCGACGGUUGCAUAAUCAAUAAGAAACAUAAAAGUGGACGGUGCAUUACUGAGCUUCAUCGUUUGUUCGUUACGCGGUGCUUAAGGACAAUAGGGGUCGUGUUCCUGUCGGUGGUCAGAUGGAGGGAGAGAUCAGAAAUAUGAUAAUCUGCUGAUGAUGAUGGAGCUCCAAUUUACAGCUGAUACGAGAGUGGAGUGGUUUGCAGGGGAUGGGGACGUUCCGUCUAAAAUGGCGUUUCCCUUUGUUUCUGCAUCCCUCUCCUCUCUGUAACAGCGAGUGGGUAACGCUGUGCUAUUACCAUAUCCACGAGCCUGCACCUCGUCUUGAAUCUUACAUCCAUACUGCAGACUCUUACGCAGUGGAUUCGGGGAUUUAACGGCAAAAGAGGAGCUGUCAGAUGGAGAAGUGAUCUCCUGUGUGGUUGGCUCAGAGGCUCUGACAGGAUCAGACCUGAGAGCAGGUAGAAGGCACUGACUUCAACUACUAUUGAGCAGAUUUGAUCCUCAAUUAGUCCAUGAAUUUGUCACUGUGUUCUGCAGCAUUGAUGAUCAUAACUGCAUAUCUGUGUCAAGCUCCAAACAAUGACUGCAUUAACGUGAUUCAUCCUAAACCUGCAUCUCGGCGCGUUUAACACCUCAAAAAAACAGCUUGUAAAUUUUUGUGCAGGGACAACAAAUCAGCAGAAUUGUUCUAAAGCCACCCUGCACUCACUUCAAACAGCAUCCCUACAUCAUCC